This is a long non-coding RNA of Symphalangus syndactylus (siamang), 547 nucleotides long. RefSeq lists it as uncharacterized. NCBI's taxonomy places the organism in Eukaryota, Metazoa, Chordata, Mammalia, Primates, Hylobatidae. The record is from RefSeq and is a predicted model, not a curated record.
UGUUGGAGGCUUUACCUGCUAGCUUUUUAAAAUUAGCUAUCAGAUGAUUCUAAAAUUAGAAAGAAGCUAAGAUGGAAGUGAAAUGUGAAAUGGCAUGGAAAGAAAUGGGUAGCUGAAAGUUCUGGAUCAUGGGAUCAUUUCCUCUGGUGGUGGGGCAAGUUAGUUUAUGGCCAAGAAUAUACACGGUGCUUCAAAUGCAAAGGAAGAAACUGUCUCUUCAAAUGGUUUACGGCUUAGAUGGGGAAGAAAUGUCUACACUCUAGAAAUGAAAUGAUGAAAGGACCUUACAGAGCAGGGGUACUCCUGAGAGAGCCAGGGGAUUCACAGACAAGGACCAAGUACUGGGCUAGGCUGAGGAAGUUAGAGAAGAACAUCAUUGCUGACCUCAAGAAGCUAAGGCUCAGAAGGGGAGACAGGGGAGUAAACAGCUGCCACGGAAGGUGCCAAGUGCUACGGCAGGCAUGUGACCAGCAGGAUAUGAGGAUUCACCUUCAGCUCUCUGUGUGCCUAUUGUGGGGAGAUCCCAAGGUGAAGGGUAAAGACAAAG